This 253-nucleotide ribosomal RNA is filed under the name uncultured bacterium. Its description in RNAcentral is "partial 16S ribosomal RNA". It matches the Rfam family "Bacterial small subunit ribosomal RNA", at positions 524 to 776 of the family's 1533-position model. The record is from RNAcentral.
UACAGAGGUCUCAAGCGUUGUUCGGAUUCACUGGGCGUAAAGGGUGCGUAGGCGGUCGGGUAAGUCUGAUGUGAAAUCUUCAAGCUUAACUUGGAAACUGCAUCGGAUACUAUUCGGCUAGAGGAAUGGAGGGGAGACUGGAAUACUUGGUGUAGCAGUGAAAUGCGUAGAUAUCAAGUGGAACACCAGUGGCGAAGGCGAGUCUCUGGACAUUUCCUGACGCUGAGGCACGAAAGCCAGGGGAGCAAACGGG